This 869-nucleotide long non-coding RNA is filed under the name Solanum tuberosum (potato). RNAcentral describes it as "long non-coding RNA (STUB_LNC006474)". The record is from RNAcentral. Lineage: Eukaryota; Viridiplantae; Streptophyta; Magnoliopsida; Solanales; Solanaceae.
CAUUCUCCCUCAAAAGUGUACAUUAUAUUUGCCUCUUCAUCCUUUCGGUUUUCUCGCUAAGCAGGUCAAGGCGCUGUUGCUGCUUUAAGCCUAGAAUUGACUGCUUCCCAUGACACCAGCUUCUCCAUAAAGAUAGAUAUGUAGUCAGGUCGCCGAUUCUACAAGCAAAAGAUAGUUAAGAGACUUUGAAUAUAUGUCUCGACGAAACAUUUUAUACAUCAAAGAAAGUAUUUAAGUAGUUUCAUCAGGUUAGGCUUACCUGAAAGUCCAGAUAGUAGGCAUGCUGCAGUAUCAAACACAAAAAGUAAAAGAAUAAGACUUGGCUUCCUAAAUCAUUUUUGUUCCGAAAGAAGAGAGGAAAAAAAGACAACAAAUUUUAGACAGAUUUAUGACAAGUGAGUGUGUUCUGCUUACCUCCCAAACGUCGAUGGUGAGGAGUGGCUGCAACGAAAACCACAGUUGUGAGAUUUCUAUUACGAUAUAAACUGCUAUGCUAUGUAAGAUGAAAUCCCAUGAAUAAAAGAAAUAGAGAAGCAUGCGUUUUUACUCACUGUGUAACCCAAAACAAGAGGAUUUUCAGCAUUAGGAGUUUUCACCAAAGCAAGCUUUUUGUCUUCAGGUUUGUCUACGAAGUAACGAAUGAAUAACUUUUCAGUCAUUUUGCUCAAUUAUAACAAAAUGGUUGAACAGAACAAUGCAAAGAAUUUCUCACAUGCAAGCCAGGCCCAACCGGAGCCAAAUUGUGUUGCUGCAGCUGCCUUAAAUUCUUUAACAAAUGUAUCAUAGGAACCAAAGUCUCUGUUUAUUAGUUCUAAUAAUUCACCAGAUGGCUCUCCUCCUCCGUUGGGCUUCAUAGAUUCCCAGAAGAA